AGAUGGCGACCGGCGCACGGGUGAGUAACACGUAUCCAACCUGCCGAUAACUCGGGGAUAGCCUUUCGAAAGAAAGAUUAACACCCGAUGGUAUAAUCAGACCGCAUGGUUUGAUUAUUAAAGAAUUUCGGUUAUCGAUGGGGAUGCGUUCCAUUAGGCAGUUGGUGAGGUAACGGCUCACCAAACCUUCGAUGGAUAGGGGUUCUGAGAGGAAGGUCCCCCACAUUGGAACUGAGACACGGUCCAA
RNAcentral lists this ribosomal RNA (247 nucleotides) under uncultured bacterium. RNAcentral's name for it is "partial 16S ribosomal RNA". It matches the Rfam family "Bacterial small subunit ribosomal RNA", at positions 86 to 334 of the family's 1533-position model. The record is from RNAcentral.